This 216-nucleotide ribosomal RNA is filed under the name Campeiostachys nutans. Its description in RNAcentral is "Elymus nutans partial small subunit ribosomal RNA". The stretch from base 40 to 216 matches the Rfam family "Eukaryotic small subunit ribosomal RNA", at positions 686 to 864 of the family's 1831-position model. The record is from RNAcentral. Lineage: Eukaryota; Viridiplantae; Streptophyta; Magnoliopsida; Poales; Poaceae.
GGGUUAGUAGGUUGGUCAUGCCUCUGGUAUGUACUGGUCUCACUGAUUCCUCCUUCCUGAUGAACCUUAAUGCCAUUAAUUUGUUGUUUUGGGGAAUUUGGACUGUUACUUUGAAAAAAUUAGAGUGUUUAAAGCAAUCUAACGCUUGAAUACAAUAGCAUGGAAUAAUGAUAUAGGACGUUCGAUCCUAUUUUGUUGGUUUCUAGGAUUGACGUA